AACGAACGCUGGCGGCAUGCCUAACACAUGCAAGUCGAACGAGACCUUCGGGUCUAGUGGCGCACGGGUGCGUAACGCGUGGGAACCUGCCCUUAGGUUCGGAAUAACUCCCCGGAAGGGGUGCUAAUACCGGAUAAUGUCUUCGGACCAAAGAUUUAUCGCCUUUGGAUGGGCCCGCGUUGGAUUAGCUAGUUGGUAGGGUAAAAGCCUACCAAGGCGACGAUCCAUAGCUGGUCUGAGAGGAUGAUCAGCCACACUGGGACUGAGACACGGCCCAGACUCCUACGGGAGGCAACAGUGGGGAAUAUUGGACAAUGGGCGAAAGCCUGAUCCAGCAAUGCCGCGUGAGUGAUGAAGGCCUUAGGGUUGUAAAGCUCUUUUACCCGGGAUGAUAAUGACAGUACCGGGAGAAUAAGCUCCGGCUAACUCCGUG
Molecule: ribosomal RNA, 433 nt
Filed under: uncultured bacterium
Lineage: Bacteria
Description: partial 16S ribosomal RNA
Rfam family: Bacterial small subunit ribosomal RNA
Source: RNAcentral